RNAcentral lists this unclassified non-coding RNA (365 nucleotides) under uncultured Dehalococcoidia bacterium. Its description in RNAcentral is "contains 16S-23S intergenic spacer region". Lineage: Bacteria; Bacillati; Chloroflexota; Dehalococcoidia. The record is from RNAcentral.
UCUGGGUUUAUCCCAGCGGUCCCGUCAGAGAGAUUUAACUGACGGCGAGGGUUGCGCUCGUUGCGGGACUUAACCCAACACCUCACGGCACGAGCUGACGACAGCCAUGCAGCACCUGUGCUAGCUCCCCGAAGGGUCCUUCACCUUUCGGAUCCGUACCACUAGCAUGUCAAGCCCUGGUAAGGUUCUUCGCGUUGCAUCGAAUUAAACCACACGCUCCGCCGCUUGUGCGGGCCCCCGCCUAUUCCUUUGAGUUUUAACCUUGCGGCCGUAGUCCCCAGGCGGUGAACUUAUCGCGUUAGCUGCGCUACUUGACAUUUUAAUAUGUCCAACAGCUAGUUCUCAUCGUUUACGGCGUGGACUAC